RNAcentral lists this ribosomal RNA (253 nucleotides) under uncultured bacterium. Its description in RNAcentral is "partial 16S ribosomal RNA". It matches the Rfam family "Bacterial small subunit ribosomal RNA", at positions 524 to 776 of the family's 1533-position model. The record is from RNAcentral.
UACGUAGGGGGCAAGCGUUGUCCGGAAUCAUUGGGCGUAAAGCGCGUGUAGGCGGCCCGAUAAGUCCGCUGUGAAAGUCCAGGGCUCAACCCUGGGAUGCCGGUGGAUACUGUCGGGCUCGAGUCCGGAAGAGGAGUGUGGAAUUCCUGGUGUAGCGGUGAAAUGCGCAGAUAUCAGGAGGAACACCAAUAGCGAAGGCAGCUCGCUGGGACGUUACUGACACUGAGGCGCGAAAGCGUGGGGAGCGAACAGG